Molecule: ribosomal RNA, 433 nt
Filed under: uncultured bacterium
Lineage: Bacteria
Description: partial 16S ribosomal RNA
Rfam family: Bacterial small subunit ribosomal RNA
Source: RNAcentral
AACGAACGCUGGCGGCAUGCCUAACACAUGCAAGUCGAACGAGACCUUCGGGUCUAGUGGCGCACGGGUGCGUAACGCGUGGGAACCUGCCCUUAGGUUCGGAAUAACUCCCCGAAAGGGGUGCUAAUACCGGAUAAUGUCUUCGGACCAAAGAUUUAUCGCCUUUGGAUGGGCCCGCGUUGGAUUAGCUAGUUGGUAGGGUAAAAGCCUACCAAGGCGACGAUCCAUAGCUGGUCUGAGAGGAUGAUCAGCCACACUGGGACUGAGACACGGCCCAGACUCCUACGGGAGGCAGCAGUGGGGAAUAUUGGAAAAUGGGCGAAAGCAUGAUCCAGCAAUGCCGCGUGAGUGAUGAAGGCCUUAGGGUUGUAAAGCGCUUUUACCCGGGAUGAUAAUGACAGUACCGGGAGAAUAAGCACCGGCUAACUCCGUG